CGUGUCCCUUACCUCCUCUCCCGUCCUGGAGAAGGUUGACAUCAAUAUGGCAGCCAGCACAAGCCCCGCUAAGUGUAGUGCUAUGCCCAUUUUGCAGAUGAACUCCUGUACCUAAUGGCCUUAGGUCCUUGGAUGAGAAGAUACCCCUAGAGGCUAUUUGGUCCAGCCCUCUCCCUUACAACUAGAUGUGCAUGACCAUGAUGGAAGGAAAGGCAUGUCCUGAGUCCUUUGAAGACUGCCACAGGGCAAGAAUUCUCUGGGCAUGGAGUCUCUCCCAUAUACCACAGAGUUUCCUUGUUGCUGAAUCCAUCAGGUUUGCAUGGAAAACAAGCUUUCCUAGUGGAUGUUUUCACAGCAUAUGUGAGGAUUAGCAAAUACCAGAUCUCCACUUACCUGCUUGGAGCUCCCCCCGCCAUCACCACACGAUUCCUUGCAGGGUUGGGUAAGCAUCCUUCUUCCCUACUUUCUCUUCUAAACUCCAAGUGCUCU
Molecule: long non-coding RNA, 489 nt
Filed under: Canis lupus familiaris (dog)
Lineage: Eukaryota; Metazoa; Chordata; Mammalia; Carnivora; Canidae
Description: lncRNA (ENSCAFG00845012261.1)
Source: RNAcentral